Molecule: unclassified non-coding RNA, 621 nt
Filed under: Balbisia microphylla
Lineage: Eukaryota; Viridiplantae; Streptophyta; Magnoliopsida; Geraniales; Francoaceae
Description: sequence contains ITS1, 5.8S rRNA gene, ITS2
Rfam family: 5.8S ribosomal RNA (bases 237-392)
Source: RNAcentral
UCAAAACCUGCAAUGCAGAACGACCCGCGAACAUGUCACCUGAACUGGGCGAUGUCGAGUGCCAUAACGGCCCUCGACGGAACCCGACGCCAGGCAAGGGGGCUUGCCCUCUAACCUGGUUUAACCUCGAACCCCGGCGUGAGAAACGCCAAGGAAUAUAAACGAGAGACGGUCACCCCGAAAGCGUCGUGCAUGCGGCGUGAUAGGGAGGGCCGUGCCUCCACUAUGUCUAUAACGACUCUCGGCAACGGAUAUCUCGGCUCUCGCAUCGAUGAAGAACGUAGCGAAAUGCGAUACUUGGUGUGAAUUGCAGAAUCCCGUGAACCAUCGAGUUUUUGAACGCAAGUUGCGCCCAAAGCCUUCGGGCCGAGGGCACGUCUGCCUGGGUGUCACGUACUCGUUGCCCCCUUCUUCCUUCACCCCUAAACGGGCGUCGGUCGGGGGCGGAUUCUGGUCUCCCGUGCGCUCCCGCUCGCGGUUGGCCUAAAACUGAGUCCCUGGCGCCGAGCGUCACGACAAGCGGUGGUUGAAACAUGCCCUCCUGCAAGACGUCGUGUACGCCCGUCGUCGAUUACCGGGAACUCCGAGACCCACGAACUCCACUGCGACCCCAGGUCAGGC